This is a long non-coding RNA of Myotis brandtii (Brandt's bat), 1042 nucleotides long. RefSeq lists it as uncharacterized. NCBI's taxonomy places the organism in Eukaryota, Metazoa, Chordata, Mammalia, Chiroptera, Vespertilionidae. The transcript is spliced from 3 exons. The record is from RefSeq and is a predicted model, not a curated record.
ACCCCAGCGGAUUUGUGGCUGACUGGGACAGCUCAUAAGGAAGAAAAUAUCUACCUCAUGCCUUUGUGAGAUAAUCCACUCCAUGUGCUGGGGCUGCAAGUAUUGUGUAAGUGCCCAAGAAGGAAGCUAAUAAUAUUGCCAAACCUUAGAGCCCUCCUGCGACAUCGGCACUGUGACCUCUGACAAGCAGACGAGGAAGACAAAAGUGAGGGGUCUGGAUAAAUUACCAGAGGUCACGGAGCCAGCCAAUGGCAGAGUCAGAAUUUGCACCCAGGUGGCAACAGUAUCCAAAAGCCAAAGAGUGUCUUUCUUCCAUGGACCUACUUUUAAGAACAAGAAGAAUCUUUCCAGAAGCCUCCAGAGCAGACACUGCCCUUCAUGUUUCAUUGGCCAGGCUGGGUCAUGGUCUACUCUUAAACCCAUCACUGGCAAGAAGUCCCUACACUAGUCAAGGUUGACUGCCUGGGACUGGUAAGCAGGCCAGAGUGGCAAUGGAUGUUGACUAGCACACCAACAAUGUCCUUGUGAUAUUUGAAGUCAUACAGAGCUGGGUUUGCAUCCAGGCUCACCAUUUACAAACCUAGACAAUUUUACCUCUUGAAAUUUUAGUAUCCUCACUUGGAAAAUAGGGUUAAGAAUAUCUACUGCAAAGGUGAUUGAUGAGGGUUAAACAAGGCAUAUUUGUGAAAGGUAUAACACAGUGUGUGGCACAUAAUAGUUCCUUAAUGCCUGUUGGUUUUUCCCGUUUCCCUUUUGCUUCCCUUUUGGAUAGCUUUCAGCGUAUGUGUUCCCAUUAGAACUAGAGGACUUUCUCUUGAUCUCUUCAUGUCUGCAGCAAGUUCUCCUGCCUCUUCUAGUGAUUUCUGGUUCCACAACGUUAUUAACAAUGCUUUUAAGAAUGUGAUUAUUACUUGUCAUUAAUACUACUGUUGGAGUAAUUGAUAAAUGUAUAGUAUAAAAUGAUGUUGACCCAAAGUUCAUAUAUGUUGUUAUAUUUGACCCUGAUAAUGUGGUCAAUUGGGGUUGCUACAAUUAAAGGUAA